This 370-nucleotide ribosomal RNA is filed under the name Thelephora sp. 348-581. Its description in RNAcentral is "eukaryotic LSU rRNA". The stretch from base 1 to 105 matches the Rfam family "5.8S ribosomal RNA", at positions 50 to 154 of the family's 154-position model. Lineage: Eukaryota; Fungi; Basidiomycota; Agaricomycetes; Thelephorales; Thelephoraceae. The record is from RNAcentral.
GAAAUGCGAUAAGUAAUGUGAAUUGCAGAAUUCAGUGAAUCAUCGAAUCUUUGAACGCACCUUGCGCCCUUUGGCAUUCCAAAGGGCAUGCCUGUUUGAGUAUCAUGAACACCUCAACUCUCAUGGGUUUGCCAUGAUGAGCUUGGACUUCUGGGGGUUUUGCUGGCCUAUCGUCGGCUCCUCUCAAAUGAAUCAGCUUUCCAGUGUUUGGUGGCAUCACAGGUGUGAUAACUAUCUGCGCUUGUGGUGUUCCACCAGGUGACCUUCAGCGAUGGAGGUUUGCUGGAGCUCAUAAACGUCUCUCUUUGGCGAGGGACAUYGUUUUUGAAYGUUUGAUCUCAAAUCAGGUAGGACUACCCGCUGAACUUAA